Molecule: small nuclear RNA, 161 nt
Filed under: Jatropha curcas
Lineage: Eukaryota; Viridiplantae; Streptophyta; Magnoliopsida; Malpighiales; Euphorbiaceae
Description: U1 spliceosomal RNA
Rfam family: U1 spliceosomal RNA
About the family: U1 is a small nuclear RNA (snRNA) component of the spliceosome (involved in pre-mRNA splicing). Its 5' end forms complementary base pairs with the 5' splice junction, thus defining the 5' donor site of an intron.
Source: Rfam by way of RNAcentral
AUACUUACCUGGACGGGGUCGAUGGGUGAUCAUGAAGGCCUAUGGCCUAGGUCAGUGACUUCCAUUGCACUUUGGAGGGGUGCUGUCCUAAGGUCUCCCCAAGUGGGAGAGCCUACGUCAUAAUUUGUGGCAGUGGGGGCCUGCGUUCGCGCGGCCCCUCC